GUGCCAGCCGCCGCGGUAAUACGUAGGGUGCGAGCGUUGUCCGGAAUUACUGGGCGUAAAGAGCUCGUAGGCGGUUUGUCGCGUCGUCUGUGAAAUUCCGCAGCUUAACUGUGGGCGUGCAGGCGAUACGGGCAGACUUGAGUACUGUAGGGGAGACUGGAAUUCCUGGUGUAGCGGUGGAAUGCGCAGAUAUCAGGAGGAACACCGGUGGCGAAGGCGGGUCUCUGGGCAGUAACUGACGCUGAGGAGCGAAAGCGUGGGUAGCGAACAGGAUUAGAUACCCUGGUAGUCCACGCCGUAAACGGUGGGUACUAGGUGUGGGCUCUUUCACGGGGUCCGUGCCGUAGCUAACGCAUUAAGUACCCCGCCUGGGGAGUACGGCCGCAAGGCUAAAACUCAAAUAAAUUGGCGG
RNAcentral lists this ribosomal RNA (412 nucleotides) under uncultured bacterium. RNAcentral's name for it is "bacterial SSU rRNA". It matches the Rfam family "Bacterial small subunit ribosomal RNA", at positions 505 to 916 of the family's 1533-position model. The record is from RNAcentral.